GACGAACGCUGCGGUGUGCUUAACACAUGCAAGUCGAACGGAAAGGCCCUGCUUUUGUGGGGUGCUCGAGUGGCGAACGGGUGAGUAACACGUGAGUAACCUGCCCUUGACUUUGGGAUAACUUCAGGAAACUGGGGCUAAUACCGGAUAGGAGCUCCUGCUGCAUGGUGGGGGUUGGAAAGUUUCGGCGGUUGGGGAUGGACUCGCGGCUUAUCAGCUUGUUGGUGGGGUAGUGGCUUACCAAGGCUUUGACGGGUAGCCGGCCUGAGAGGGUGACCGGCCACAUUGGGACUGAGAUACGGCCCAGACUCCUACGGGAGGCAGCAGUGGGGAAUAUUGCACAAUGGGCGGAAGCCUGAUGCAGCAACGCCGCGUGCGGGAUGACGGCCUUCGGGUUGUAAACCGCUUUCGCCUGUGACGAAGCGUGAGUGACGGUAAUGGGUAAAGAAGCACCGGCUAACUACGUG
RNAcentral lists this ribosomal RNA (467 nucleotides) under uncultured bacterium. RNAcentral's name for it is "partial 16S ribosomal RNA". It matches the Rfam family "Bacterial small subunit ribosomal RNA", at positions 28 to 507 of the family's 1533-position model. The record is from RNAcentral.